This is an RNA transcript of Gallus gallus (chicken), 2001 nucleotides long. It is a transcript of the gene named ubiquitin conjugating enzyme E2 G1, with no coding region annotated. The transcript is spliced from 7 exons. The record is from RefSeq and is marked provisional. Lineage: Eukaryota; Metazoa; Chordata; Aves; Galliformes; Phasianidae.
GGAGGUGGCGGCGAGGAGGAGGGCGGCACGGAGCCACGGCCGCGCGCCCCUGGCAGGGACCCUGCGUGCUGUGGCGGCGGGUGCGGUGCGGGCGGGCGGGCUGAGGGCCACUCGCCGCCGCCUCGGGCGCUGGGAGCACCGGCAGCCGCGCCGUCCUCGGGACUCGCUCCGCAGGCAGAAAGGGGGAGAAUGACGGAGCUCCAGUCCGCCUUGUUACUGCGGAGACAGCUAGCAGAGCUCAACAAAAAUCCAGUGGAAGGCUUUUCAGCGGGCUUAAUAGAUGACAAUGAUCUUUAUCGAUGGGAAGUCCUUAUUAUUGGUCCUCCAGAUACACUAUAUGAAGGUGGUGUUUUCAAGGCUCAUCUGACUUUUCCAAAAGACUACCCACUGAGGCCACCAAAAAUGAAGUUCAUCACAGAAAUCUGGCAUCCGAAUGUCGACAAGAAUGGUGAUGUCUGCAUUUCCAUUCUUCAUGAGCCUGGAGAAGACAAAUAUGGCUAUGAAAAACCUGAGGAACGCUGGCUUCCCAUUCACACAGUGGAAACUAUUAUGAUUAGUGUAAUUUCUAUGCUGGCAGAUCCCAAUGGUGAUUCUCCUGCUAAUGUUGAUGCAGCGAAAGAAUGGAGAGAAGACAGAAAUGGAGAAUUUAAAAGAAAAGUUGCCCGCUGUGUAAGAAAAAGCCAAGAAACUGCUUUUGAGUGACACUUAUUCAGCAGCUAGUAGCUUCACUUUUUUCAGGGUGAUGAUUUUGGAUUUAUGCAUCUUCUCUAUAGAGGUCUCCAAUUGAGAAACAUGGCACUGUUUUUUUCCUGCACUCUACCCACCUAUUGCUGGACUUCUGUUGUUACAAGUUGGCAAAUACUGGCUGGAACUGGGCUGCAAUAAAACAUGCCAGUUAUCAAUGCUGACAAGAGCCUAACAAGUGCCAACACAAGAUGAUUACGCAUUUUGAAAUCUAAUGAACUGCUUUAACCUUCAGGAAGAAUUGUAAAGAUGUGUACAUAGCACAACAUGAUCCGGAUAAUAUAUAUACUGUUCAUGUACAUCCACAAAUACACAUUGUACCAAAUAAUGCUGUCUGUAGGUAGGAAUAGAAUCGUGUAAAUUCUAAAGAUUUUAGCAGUUUUUUUCCCUAUUCAUUGUUUCCUAUCAGUUUGCAGAAAAAGCAAAACAAAACAACAAAAACAACCAACAACUUGUGAAGCAUGUCAAACUAAAACCAAUUAGGAUUAAAGUCCUUUUUUUCCCCACUUUAAUUUUCCUUUGACCCACUGAGGCUUAAUUAAAAUUUCUUGUUAUUGAAGUUUAGUAUCUUUUGUUUUGUGUUUGUUUUUUUUGGAAAUGUGCUCCCUUUUAUUCCCUCAUCAGAACUUAAAGUUUUCCUAAUUAAACCCUGAAGGGAUUUGCUAUCAAUUACUUGUGUCUUCUUUUAUGAUGACCUUUGUAGUCCCUAAGGUGCUUUUUUUUUUUUCCUUCUUACCACCCCCCCCUUUUUUUUAAACAAAAUAACCAAUUGCACAUGCUUCUUGAAUUGGGUAUAGCAAUAAAACUGGCCAUGGAGCAUCCUUGAGCAGCCUGCUGGGUUUUACCUUCCGAGGGACUUGAGCGCUUUUGUUCAGAAGUUGAGUUGACUAAGUUAGUCUAGUCCAAGAUGGGGAUAAGCUGCUUUCUAUGGGUGACUUUUUUUUUUUGCCUUUUCCAUUGCCUGUUUGUGGGGUGGGGUGUGUGAGGGAGAUGUUUUUUCUCAAGGUUGAAUUCAAGCAUGCGCAUCUGUAGGCUUUCAAAUGACUAACUUCUGGGUUUGGUAUCAGAACUAGUUUUUUCUUCUUAUCCCUUUUCUCUCUCUCUUCUGUGGCCCUUCAUAUUCUUUGCCUUCUACUUCAGAGUUUUCCUCACCUAAUGUACAAAGAAAAUUGCGAUGUAUAUUUUCAUGUAAUUUGAUUUUUUGGAAUUCUGUCACCUUCUGUAGUGAGUUCUUCCAAAAUAUAAUUUUUUCCAAUA